Molecule: long non-coding RNA, 333 nt
Filed under: Oreochromis niloticus (Nile tilapia)
Lineage: Eukaryota; Metazoa; Chordata; Actinopteri; Cichliformes; Cichlidae
Description: lncRNA (ENSONIG00000004048.2)
Source: RNAcentral
AUGGCCGAUACAGCUGUUGACACAACCGCCACUGCAGAGGUUACAGCCAAGGAGCUGAAAGAGAAGAAAGAGGCAGAAGUGGAGGAAAAGACCGAUAACGGGGACGCACCUGCCAAUGGCACAAACGGUGCUGAACACAGUGACAAAGUGGAAGAAACCACAGAGGAGGAGCACAAGAAUGGGGAAGGGAAUGCAGAGGAGGCGCCCCCUGCUGAGGAGACUGAUGCACAGCCUGUGAAGCGUGCAGCUGAGGAGGAGGAGGAAAAGGUGGAGACAAAAAAGCAGAAGACAGAGGAAAAUGGGGAUUCGAAAGAGGCAGAAGUGGAGGCUUAG